AGUCCAAAGUCUUUUGCAGCAAAAUGAGCAGUAGGACCCAAAUGCUUCAAGACUGGCUUACCACAUUUUGAAGUGCAGUAAUACACAUUAUCAUGUAAAGAAGGCUUAUGUGAUAUCAUUAAGUCCAAAGGAGAAGGGGUAUAAGAAAAUUAAUUACACCAAUACACCACUGGGCAUAGUUUCCUUUUCACAAACAAUAUAUGAGGUGCUAAACCUGUUCCUGAAGAUGGUUAAAUGCUUUGCUAUUUUAAAAAAAUGUGGUGUCCCCCGGGUGUUGCUGGAUAGCAGGUGUCAACAGUCCCAGCCAACAUAGCCAAAAGUCAGAAAUGAUGGGGAUUGUAGUUCAACAACCCCUGGAGGGCAAUGCAUUGGCUACCAUUUCCAUAAGAGUAUCAUUGUCCUCACAAACAGUGCCAAUAAAUAGUAAGUCUUCUUGAUACUGGAAAGCCACUGGAAGUAGUGAAGGCUCAUAAAUAGAAAUAAACCCGGUAAGCAAAUUUACAGCCAUCCUGGUCGGCAGUGCCUAUGAUCUACCACCAAUUCUACAUAUAUAGCCCAACUGGGUGAACAGUUCAAACUUACUUCAGCCGUGUUGAUGGUGAAUUACUGAUCCAGGCACAGCUCUUACUUGGAAGGAUGGAAAUAUGCAGCAGUGACUCAUACAGAGACGGGUGAUGAGACUCCUCUGAGGACAGAAAACUCUACAGCUUUCUACAUCAGAAAGUGACUAAUUGCACCCAGUGAAGAACAUUGCCACCCCAGUGGAAGUUGACUGGCAGGAAAUGUGGACAACAAGAUGAAUCACACAGAAGCAUAAUGACAAUAUCCACUUUGGGUAUGAACACAGGAAGCUGUCUUGUGUUGAGUCAGAUUAUCACUCCAUCUAGCUCAGUAUGGUCAACAGUGGGUAGCAAUGGAUUGCAAGGGUUUCAGACAAGGAUGUUUUAUCCACACUAGCUAGAAAUGUUGGGGCCUGCCCAUGAGUUUGGAGUUCGCAUCACCAUACAAUCCUUUCUUAACUUAAAUUCCUUCACCCCUAGCUAAUUAUGCUGAUAUAAGACCAGCCACUGCUUCUUGCCUGUUCUGCUGUAGCUCACUCCUGAUGUGGCUUAUGUUACUUCUCAUAAUUCCUUCAUUUGGCAUAAAUUAUUUUGGGGGCAUUGCUUGCCCAAUCACUUAUGUUUCCUUGCCCCCCUCCCAAACUCAACUCUCCCUAGACCAACU
Molecule: non-coding RNA, 1224 nt
Organism: Podarcis muralis (Common wall lizard)
Lineage: Eukaryota; Metazoa; Chordata; Lepidosauria; Squamata; Lacertidae
Source: RefSeq, a predicted model, not a curated record